UGGGUGGUUUUGGCAUUGCUUUA
Molecule: non-coding RNA, 23 nt
Filed under: Arabidopsis thaliana (thale cress)
Lineage: Eukaryota; Viridiplantae; Streptophyta; Magnoliopsida; Brassicales; Brassicaceae
Source: RNAcentral